GACGAACGCUGGCGGCGUGCCUAAUACAUGCAAGUCGAACGCUUCUUUCCUCCCGAGUGCUUGCACUCAAUUGGAAAGCGGAGUGGCGGACGGGUGAGUAACACGUGGGUAACCUACCCAUCAGAGGGGGAUAACACUUGGAAACAGGUGCUAAUACCGCAUAACAGUUUAUGCCGCAUGGCAUAAGAGUGAAGGGCGCUUUCGGGUGUCGCUGAUGGAUGGACCCGCGGUGCAUUAGCUAGUUGGUGAGGUAACGGCUCACCAAGGCCACGAUGCAUAGCCGACCUGAGAGGGUGAUCGGCCACACUGGGACUGAGACACGGCCCAGACUCCUACGGGAGGCAGCAGUAGGGAAUCUUCGGCAAUGGACGAAAGUCUGACCGAGCAACGCCGCGUGAGUGAAGAAGGUUUUCGGAUCGUAAAACUCUGUUGUUAGAGAAGAACAAGGACGUUAGUAACUGAACGUCCCCUGACGGUAUCUAACCAGAAAGCCACGGCUAACUACGUG
RNAcentral lists this ribosomal RNA (508 nucleotides) under uncultured bacterium. RNAcentral's name for it is "partial 16S ribosomal RNA". It matches the Rfam family "Bacterial small subunit ribosomal RNA", at positions 28 to 507 of the family's 1533-position model. The record is from RNAcentral.